GGCGCCGUAGCCAAGUGGUAAGGCAGAGGACUGCAAAUCCUUUAUCCCCGGUUCGAAUCCGGGCGGCGCCU
This 71-nucleotide transfer RNA is filed under the name Lentisphaeria bacterium. RNAcentral's name for it is "tRNA-Cys". It matches the Rfam family "tRNA". Rfam says of the family: Transfer RNA (tRNA) molecules are approximately 80 nucleotides in length. Lineage: Bacteria; Pseudomonadati; Lentisphaerota; Lentisphaeria. RNAcentral also lists the same sequence under 2 other names. The record is from RNAcentral.